RNAcentral lists this ribosomal RNA (450 nucleotides) under uncultured bacterium. Its description in RNAcentral is "partial 16S ribosomal RNA". It matches the Rfam family "Bacterial small subunit ribosomal RNA", at positions 338 to 795 of the family's 1533-position model. The record is from RNAcentral.
CCUACGGGAGGCAGCAGUGGGGAAUUUUGGACAAUGGGCGCAAGCCUGAUCCAGCCAUUCCGCGUGAGUGAAGAAGGCCUUCGGGUUGUAAAGCUCUUUCGCAAGGGAAGAAAACUUAUCCUCUAACAUAGGAUGAGGUUGACGGUACCUUGAUAAGAAGCACCGGCUAACUACGUGCCAGCAGCCGCGGUAAUACGUAGGGUGCGUGCGUUAAUCGGAAUUUGCGCGCGCUAAUUUGUAGGUGAGAGGUGAAAUCCCCGAGCUCAACUUGGGAACUGCGUUUGAAACUACAAGACUAGAAUAGGUCAGAGGGGGGUAGAGUUCCACGUGUAGCAGUGAAAUGCGUAGAGAUGUGGAGGAAUAUCAAUGGCGAAGGCAGCCCCCUGGGAUCAUAUUGACGCUCAUGCACGAAAGCGUGGGGAGCAAACAGGAUUAGAUACCCCAGUAGUC